Molecule: ribosomal RNA, 465 nt
Filed under: uncultured bacterium
Lineage: Bacteria
Description: partial 16S ribosomal RNA
Rfam family: Bacterial small subunit ribosomal RNA
Source: RNAcentral
GACGAACGCUGGCGGCGUGCUUAACACAUGCAAGUCGAACGGAAAGGCCCUGCUUUUGUGGGGUGCUCGAGUGGCGAACGGGUGAGUAACACGUGAGUAACCUGCCCUUGACUUUGGGAUAACUUCAGGAAACUGGGGCUAAUACCGGAUAGGAGCUCCUGCUGCAUGGUGGGGGUUGGAAAGUUUCGGCGGUUGGGGAUGGACUCGCGGCUUAUCAGCUUGUUGGUGGGGUAGUGGCUUACCAAGGCUUUGACGGGUAGCCGGCCUGAGAGGGUGACCGGCCACAUUGGGACUGAAAUACGGCCCAGACUCCUACGGGAGGCAGCAGUGGGGAAUAUUGCACAAUGGGCGGAAGCCUGAUGCAGCAACGCCGCGGGCGGGAUGACGGCCUUCGGUUUGUAAACCGCUUUCGCCUGUGACGAAGCGUGAGUGACGGUAAUGGGUAAAGAAGCACCGGCUAACUAC